UGAAAUUUAUAGUAAAAGGAAAAUCCGUCGACUUUAGAAAUCAUGAGGGU
RNAcentral lists this transfer RNA (50 nucleotides) under Syringodea unifolia. Its description in RNAcentral is "partial transfer RNA-Leu". The record is from RNAcentral. Lineage: Eukaryota; Viridiplantae; Streptophyta; Magnoliopsida; Asparagales; Iridaceae.